GACGAACGCUGGCGGCGUGCCUAAUACAUGCAAGUCGAACGCUGAAGGAGGAGCUUGCUUCUCUGGAUGAGUUGCGAACGGGUGAGUAACGCGUAGGUAACCUGCCUUGUAGUGUGGGAUAACUAUUGGAAACGAUAGCUAAUACCGCAUAAGAGUAGAUGUUGCAUGAUAUUUGUUUAAAAGGUUUAAUUGCAUCACUACCACAUGGACCUGCGUUGUAUUAGCUAGUUGUUGGGGUAUCGCCGUACCAAGGCGAGGAUACGUACCAGCCCUGUGAGGGUGAGCGGCCACACUGAGACUGAGACACGGCCCAGAGUCAUAGGGGUGGGAGCAGUAGGGAUUCUUCGGCAAGGAGCGGAAGUCAGAGCAAGAAAGGCCGCAUGAGUGAAGAGGAUUGUCGGGUCGUAAAGCACGGUUGUCAGAGAAGAAAGAGUGUGAGAGUGGAAAGUUCACACUGUGACGGUAUCUGACAAGAAAGGAACGGCUAACUACGUG
Molecule: ribosomal RNA, 495 nt
Filed under: uncultured bacterium
Lineage: Bacteria
Description: partial 16S ribosomal RNA
Rfam family: Bacterial small subunit ribosomal RNA
Source: RNAcentral